AGUCUGAGAGUCCCUCCGCCCCACAGACUGUGUGCGAAGAAGGCCAAAGUUAAGGUGCAGCCAGCGAUCCCGGGACAGGGGACAGGAGAGGUUUUGUGCAGAAGUGGCCCUUUCCUCCCGGGCUGCACCGCUCUGGGGCUGGCCCCAGCUCCUGCACGUUCAGGGGUAGGCAGCCGUGUGUCCGUGCUUCGGACCCUGCAGCCUGGCCCCCCUUGCUGUAACAAGCCCAGUGUCCCCCUGCCGGGUAAGUGUCCCCGAGGCAGGCUGGCCUCAGGGGGCAUUAGGGGCUCCGCGAGCAGCACCCAGGGCUCGUCUGCCCCUUGCAGAGACCAGGAGGAGGUGGGAGCUCCUCGUCUGUGCCAUCCUGCCUCAGGGGGUGUGGGGUUGGUCCCUGUGGGAAGGAGGGACAGAGGCUGCAGAAGGCUUCCAUUCACCAGCAGCCUUUCAUCCCAUGUCCCAGGGCCACAGCCACCCUGUCUCCAUCCCUGUUUACUGAUGGGGCCGAUAGGGCCAGGACAGGAGAGGUUGCAGGUUCCCCUAAUCGCCUUAUCACCGGGCCGGACAAUCUCAGACACUCAGAGGAUGUUUUGACUGCGCCGAAUUACAAUGUUUGUUGUUUCUCACUCCCAAUAAUUGACAUUUGAUAGCGACUACUGUAAAGGCGGCCGAGGGGCUGGGGCUGAGCCAGGAGAGAGGCAGGGGGCCCUUCCCCUCCGGCAGCCCCCGAGCCCUGUGGUUUAGGGCUUGGGCUGUUUCCCCCCCUCCCCUCCUUGCGCUGCCUUUCUGUGCGAGGAAGAACUCAGCCCCCCCAGAGCCUCCCAGUGAUGGGAUCUGGCCGGGAGAUGGAGGCGGGGGGGGACAGGGCUCAUGCACAGCAGUCCUGCCCGGGCUGGGGCUUCCAAAGCAGGUUGAAAAAUUAUUUUUAAAAGACAUUAAAAAUACGAGCACGGUUUGCACUUACCAGUGCGGAAAUCGCGGAAAUUUAGGGAGGGCUAAAAGGGGGGGUGGCAGCAGGGGGGAGCCCUGGGGGGACCUUGGCCGUGCAAUGAAGGCGGGGGACGCGCAAUGAAAGCCACUCUCUUUAAUGACAACUCGCUGAUCUCCGUCAGCUGCUACAGCAAAGGGAAAGGCGGCGGGACGAGGAGAGGACAGUGCAUUUCGGUACUAACGGACGUUUUAGUGCAUAACCCUACAGGGACCGGGGGGUCGGGGGGGCCUUGUUCCCCAGGGGGGCUGACC
Molecule: long non-coding RNA, 1239 nt
Filed under: Anser cygnoides (Swan goose)
Lineage: Eukaryota; Metazoa; Chordata; Aves; Anseriformes; Anatidae
Description: lncRNA (ENSACDG00005017334.1)
Source: RNAcentral